CUAACAAGGAUUCCCCUAGUAACGGCGAGUGAAGCGGGAAGAGCUCAAAUUUGUAAUCUGGCGGCCUCUGGUCGUCCGAGUUGUAGUCUGGAGAAGCGUUUUCCGCGUCGGACCGUGUACAAGUCCCUUGGAACAGGGCGUCAUAGAGGGUGAGAAUCCCGUCUUUGACACGGACUGCCGACGCUCUGUGAUGCGCUCUCGAAGAGUCGAGUUGUUUGGGAAUGCAGCUCAAAACGGGUGGUAAAUUCCAUCUAAAGCUAAAUAUUGGCGAAAGACCGAUAGCGAACAAGUACCGUGAGGGAAAGAUGAAAAGCACUUUGGAAAGAGAGUUAAACAGUACGUGAAAUUGUUGAAAGGGAAACGCUUGAAGUCAGUCGCGUCUCCCGGGACUCAGCCUUGCUUUGCCAGGCGUAUUUCCCGGGGCGACGGGCCAGCAUCGAUUUUGACCGUCGGAGAAAGGCUUUGGGAACGUGGCACCUUCGGGUGUGUUAUAGCCCUCGGUCGUAUGCGACGGUCGGGAUUGAGGACCGCAGCACGCCUUUUUGGCCGGGGUUCGCCCACGUAACGUGCUUAGGAUGCUGGCGUAAUGGCUUUAAGCGACCCGUCUUGA
Molecule: ribosomal RNA, 610 nt
Filed under: Ramaria gelatinosa var. oregonensis
Lineage: Eukaryota; Fungi; Basidiomycota; Agaricomycetes; Gomphales; Gomphaceae
Description: eukaryotic LSU rRNA
Rfam family: Eukaryotic large subunit ribosomal RNA
Source: RNAcentral